UACGGGGGGGGCAAGCGUUGUUCGGAAUUACUGGGCGUAAAGGGCUCGUAGGCGGCCAACUAAGUCAGACGUGAAAUCCCUCGGCUUAACCGGGGAACUGCGUCUGAUACUGGAUGGCUUGAGUUCGGGAGAGGGAUGUGGAAUUCCAGGUGUAGCGGUGAAAUGCGUAGAUAUCUGGAGGAACACCGGUGGCGAAGGCGGGUCUCUGGGCAGUAACUGACGCUGAGGAGCGAAAGCGUGGGGAGCGAACAGG
Molecule: ribosomal RNA, 253 nt
Filed under: uncultured bacterium
Lineage: Bacteria
Description: partial 16S ribosomal RNA
Rfam family: Bacterial small subunit ribosomal RNA
Source: RNAcentral